UUCCGGUUGAUCCCGCCGGACCUGACUGCUAUCGGAUUGAUACUAAGCCAUGCGAGUCAUUGUAGCAAUACAAGGCAGACGGCUCAGUAACGCGUAGUCAACCUAACCUAUGGACGGGAAUAACCUCGGGAAACUGAGAAUAAUGCCCGAUAGAACACUAUGCCUGGAAUGGUUUGUGUUCCAAAUGAUUUAUCGCCGUAGGAUGGGACUGCGGCCUAUCAGUUUGUUGGUGAGGUAAUGGCCCACCAAGACUAUUACAGGUACGGGCUCUGAGAGGAGUAGCCCGGAGAUGGGUACUGAGACACGGACCCAGGCCCUAUGGGGCGCAGCAGGCGAGAAAACUUUGCAAUGUGCGAAAGCACGACAAGGUUAAUCCGAGUGGUUUCUGCUAAAGGAACCUUUUGUCGGUCCUAGAAACACCGAUGAAUAAGGGGUGGGCAAGUUCUGGUGUCAGCCGCCGCGGUAAAACCAGCACCUCAAGUGGUCAGGAUGAUUAUUGGGCCUAAAGCAUCCGUAGCCUGCUUUGUUAGUUUUCGGCUAAAUCUAUGCGCUCAACGUAUAGGCUGCCGGGAAUACUGCAAAGCUAGGGAGUGGGAGAGGUAGACGGUACUCGGUAGGAAGGGGUAAAAUCCUUUGAUCUAUUGAUGACCACCUGUGGCGAAGGCGGUCUACCAGAACACGUCCGACGGUGAGGGAUGAAAGCUGGGGGAGCAAACCGGAUUAGAUACCCGGGUAGUCCCAGCCGUAAACCAUGCAAACUCAGUGAUGCAUUGGCUUGUGGCCAAUGCAGUGCUGCAGGGAAGCCGUUAAGUUUGCCGCCUGGGAAGUACGUACGCAAGUAUGAAACUUAAAGGAAUUGGCGGGGGAGCACCACAAGGGGUGAAGGCUGCGGUUCAAUUGGAGUCAACGCCGGGAAUCCC
RNAcentral lists this ribosomal RNA (920 nucleotides) under uncultured archaeon. Its description in RNAcentral is "bacterial SSU rRNA". It matches the Rfam family "Archaeal small subunit ribosomal RNA", at positions 1 to 928 of the family's 1478-position model. The record is from RNAcentral.